AUGGCGACGAGGACCGCGGCGAGUACGACGCCGAGGAGGUCGGCCGCGGCGUCCCUGAGCGAGGCGCCAGAGGACCCGAAGAGGCGGGUCUCGUCGGCGGCCUCCUUGGCGGCGCCGACGGCGAGGGAGGCGGCGCAGCCGAGGGCCAGCGCCCGGCGGCGGAGGAAGGGGCGGGAGCUCCGGCCGGCAAGCGCGGCGGCGGCGAGGGCGAUGAGGAGGCAGGCGAGGACGUGCUGCAGCUUGUCCGGGGCGAGCCACUCGUCGCCCCACUCCAUCAGUCAGCCGCCGCUACCUGUGUCGAUGCAGUGGAAUGUCUCUCUGUAUGUCUCUCUCAAAGCAGAACUCUUAUAG
Molecule: ribosomal RNA, 351 nt
Filed under: Triticum aestivum (bread wheat)
Lineage: Eukaryota; Viridiplantae; Streptophyta; Magnoliopsida; Poales; Poaceae
Description: partial small subunit ribosomal RNA
Source: RNAcentral